RNAcentral lists this ribosomal RNA (287 nucleotides) under uncultured bacterium. Its description in RNAcentral is "partial 16S ribosomal RNA". It matches the Rfam family "Bacterial small subunit ribosomal RNA", at positions 28 to 334 of the family's 1533-position model. The record is from RNAcentral.
GAUGAACGCUGGCGGCGUGCCUAAUACAUGCAAGUCGAGCGAACCACUUCGGUGGGAAGCGGCGAACGGGUGAGUAACACGUAGGUGAUCUACCCAUCAGACGGGGACAACGGUUGGAAACGAUCGCUAAUACCGGAUAGGACGAAAGUUUAAAGAUGCUCCUGGCAUCACUGAUGGAUGAGCCUGCGGCGCAUUAGCUAGUUGGUGGGGUAAAGGCCUACCAAGGCGACGAUGCGUAGCCGACCUGAGAGGGUGAACGGCCACACUGGGACUGAGACACGGCCCAA